UACGAAGGGGGCUAGCGUUGCUCGGAAUCACUGGGCGUAAAGCGCGCGUAGGCGGCUUGUUAAGUCAGGGGUGAAAUCCUGGAGCUCAACUCCAGAACUGCCUUUGAUACUGGCGAUCUCGAGUCCGGGAGAGGUGAGUGGAACUGCGAGUGUAGAGGUGAAAUUCGUAGAUAUUCGCAAGAACACCAGUGGCGAAGGCGGCUCACUGGCCCGGUACUGACGCUGAGGUGCGAAAGCGUGGGGAGCAAACAGG
This 253-nucleotide ribosomal RNA is filed under the name uncultured bacterium. RNAcentral describes it as "partial 16S ribosomal RNA". It matches the Rfam family "Bacterial small subunit ribosomal RNA", at positions 524 to 776 of the family's 1533-position model. The record is from RNAcentral.